UACGGAGGGGGCAAGCGUUGUUCGGAUUUACUGGGCGUAAAGGGUCCGUAGGCGGUUGCAUAAGUCUGGUGUGAAAGCUUCGCCGCUUAACGGGAAGUUGUCACUGGAUACUGUGUAACUUGAGUAUGGUAGAGGCAAGCGGAAUUCCUGGUGUAGCGGUGGAAUGUGUAGAUAUCAGGAAGAACACCGGUGGCGAAGGCGGCUUGCUGGGCCAUCACUGACGCUGAGGGACGAAAGCGUGGGGAGCAAA
This 250-nucleotide ribosomal RNA is filed under the name uncultured bacterium. Its description in RNAcentral is "partial 16S ribosomal RNA". It matches the Rfam family "Bacterial small subunit ribosomal RNA", at positions 524 to 772 of the family's 1533-position model. The record is from RNAcentral.